RNAcentral lists this ribosomal RNA (614 nucleotides) under uncultured bacterium. Its description in RNAcentral is "bacterial SSU rRNA". It matches the Rfam family "Bacterial small subunit ribosomal RNA", at positions 564 to 1176 of the family's 1533-position model. The record is from RNAcentral.
AGAGCUCGUAGGCGGUUUGUCGCGUCUGCUGUGAAAACUGGAGGCUCAACCUCCAGCCUGCAGUGGGUACGGGCAAACUAGAGUGCGGUAGGGGAGAUUGGAAUUCCUGGUGUAGCGGUGGAAUGCGCAGAUAUCAGGAGGAACACCGAUGGCGAAGGCAGAUCUCUGGGCCGUAACUGACGCUGAGGAGCGAAAGCAUGGGGAGCGAACAGGAUUAGAUACCCUGGUAGUCCAUGCCGUAAACGUUGGGCGCUAGAUGUGGGGACCAUUCCACGGUUUCCGUGUCGCAGCUAACGCAUUAAGCGCCCCGCCUGGGGAGUACGGCCGCAAGGCUAAAACUCAAAGGAAUUGACGGGGGCCCGCACAAGCGGCGGAGCAUGCGGAUUAAUUCGAUGCAACGCGAAGAACCUUACCAAGGCUUGACAUUUACGAGAACGCUGCAGAAAUGCAGAACUCUUUGGACACUCGUAAACAGGUGGUGCAUGGUUGUCGUCAGCUCGUGUCGUGAGAUGUUGGGUUAAGUCCCGCAACGAGCGCAACCCUCGUUCUAUGUUGCCAGCGCGUUAUGGCGGGAACUCAUAGGAGACUGCCGGGGUCAACUCGGAGGAAGGUGG